Molecule: long non-coding RNA, 924 nt
Organism: Papaver somniferum (opium poppy)
Lineage: Eukaryota; Viridiplantae; Streptophyta; Magnoliopsida; Ranunculales; Papaveraceae
Exons: 2
Source: RefSeq, a predicted model, not a curated record
UUGCUCAAUUCUCAAACAUGGAUAGCUUCUUUACGGAUGAUGUUGAGCUUUCAUAUUGUGAAACCCAAAUAGCAUGUCCUAGUCACGUACUUACCAUAAAUGGCUGUGUUCUUGUUGCAUCCAGGUGCUCUGUACCUUCUAGGUGCCGCAUAUUUGACUGGGGACUGUGUGAAGCAAGAUAUGGCGUCAGCCUUGUGGUGUUUCCAUAAAGCUUCAGAGAAGGGGCUUCUGGAAGGGGAUUCAAAAUGAAAGAGGUCUAUUGCAAAUUCUAUCUUCCACAAGUAUUGCUAAAGGGAAGGAUGUGAAAUUUUGGAAAGACAAAUGGAGGGGGGCUGUUCCUUUCUGUUCGAUCCAGAAGAAGGCCUUUUAAGCAGCUAUUCAAAAGGAUGGAAAAAUGGCUGAUCUUAUUUAUCAGGGGAGGUGGAAUAUUCAAUUCAAGAGACAGUAUGGAGGAUAAUGUGGAUCAUAUUUUACUCCGCUGUACCUUAUCGAGGUAGAUUUGGGAUUAAUUUAGUUCAACAAUGCAACAUUCUUGGUCUCACAAGACUUCAGUAAAGUAGCAAUUUGAGGUUUGAUCUGACCUUAAUGGGAAAAGGCUAGCUAGAAAGUUGUGGAAGUUGCUUCCCUUUGCAAAUGUGUGGGCUCUGUGGUCUGAAAGGAACAAGAGAGUGAUGUCCAAGAAAAGUAGUAGAGAGGCUGAAGCGAUCAUCAAUGAAGUGAAGAGAUUGAUUUUUCAGUGGGGUGAGUUUAUGGCUGGUUUCGUUUCUUGUCCUUCAGAGAUUUCUUAAUAAAUUGGGAGGCUGUUAUGGAUACGAAUUGAGGGGAGAGUGUUUUGUUUCUUCUGUCCUGACUCCUGAAGCUUGCCUUCAGGUUGCUUAUAAUUUCGUUUUAGUUCCUGCAAUAAUAUUUUAACUUUCAUUGCCU